AGCAGCCGCGGUAAUUCCAGCUCCAAUAGCGUAUAUUAAAGUUGCUGCAGUUAAAAAGCUCGUAGUUGAAUUUCGGGACCAUCAUGUCGGUCGUGCCUCGGUACGUACUGGUAUUGUUGGUUUCUCCCUUCUGACGAACCAUGAUGUCAUUUAUUUAGUGUUGUGGGGAAUCAGGACUGUUACUUUGAAAAAAUUAGAGUGUUUAAAGCAGGCUCACGCUUGAAUACAUUAGCAUGGAAUAAUGAAAUAGGACGUUUGAUUCUAUUUUGUUGGUUUCUAGGAUCGACGUAAUGAUUAAUAGGGAUAGUUGGGGGCAUUAGUAUUCAAUUGUCAGAGGUGAAAUUCUUGGAUUUAUUGAAGACUAACUACUGCGAAAGCAUUUGCCAAGGAUGUUUUCAUUAAUCAAGAACGAAAGUUAGGGGAUCGAAGACGAUCAGAUACCGUCGUAGU
This 450-nucleotide ribosomal RNA is filed under the name uncultured Glomeromycotina. RNAcentral's name for it is "SSU rRNA". It matches the Rfam family "Eukaryotic small subunit ribosomal RNA", at positions 569 to 1024 of the family's 1831-position model. The record is from RNAcentral. Lineage: Eukaryota; Fungi; Glomeromycota.